This 59-nucleotide transfer RNA is filed under the name Viverra zibetha (large Indian civet). Its description in RNAcentral is "tRNA-Ser". Lineage: Eukaryota; Metazoa; Chordata; Mammalia; Carnivora; Viverridae. The record is from RNAcentral.
GAAAAAGUACGCAAGAACUGCUAAUUCAUGCUCCCGUGCAUAAAAGCAUGGCUUUUUCA